UGGGGAAUAUUGCACAAUGGGGGAAACCCUGAUGCAGCGACGCCGCGUGAGUGAAGAAGUAAUUCGUUAUGUAAAGCUCUAUCAGCAGGGAAGAAACAGACGGUACCUGAGUAAGAAGCCCCGGCUAACUACGUGCCAGCAGCCGCGGUAAUACGUAGGGGGCAAGCGUUAUCCGGAUUUACUGGGUGUAAAGGGAGCGUAGACGGCGAAGAAAGUCUGAAGUGAAAGCCCGCGGCUUAACCGCGGAACUGCUUUGGAAACUUUUUUGCUGGAGUACCGGAGAGGUAAGCGGAAUUCCUAGUG
This 303-nucleotide ribosomal RNA is filed under the name uncultured bacterium. RNAcentral's name for it is "bacterial SSU rRNA". It matches the Rfam family "Bacterial small subunit ribosomal RNA", at positions 355 to 675 of the family's 1533-position model. The record is from RNAcentral.